UGACGGGGCCCCGCACAAGCGGCGGAGCAUGCGGCUUAAUUCGACGCAACGCGAAGAACCUUACCAAGGCUUGACAUAUACAAGAAUAUGGCAGAGAUGUCAUAGCCGCAAGGUCUGUAUACAGGUGGUGCAUGGUUGUCGUCAGCUCGUGUCGUGAGAUGUUGGGUUAAGUCCCGCAACGAGCGCAACCCUCGUUCUGUGUUGCCAGCAUUUAGUUGGGGACUCACAGGAGACUGCCGGGGUUAACUCGGAGGAAGGUGGGGAUGACGUCAAAUCAUCAUGCCCCUUAUGUCUUGGGCUGCACGCAUGCUACAAUGGCUGGUACAAACGGCUGCAAUACCGCAAGGUGGAGCGAAUCCGAGAAAGCCAGUCUCAGUUCGGAUUGGGGUCUGCAACUCGACCCCAUGAAGUCGGAGUUGCUAGUAAUCGUAGAUCAGCAACGCUACGGUGAAAACGUUCCCGGGGCUUGUACACACCGCCCGUCACAUCACGAAAGUCGGUACACUCCAAAGUCAGUGCCCAACCGUAAGGAG
RNAcentral lists this ribosomal RNA (533 nucleotides) under uncultured Actinomycetes bacterium. RNAcentral's name for it is "bacterial SSU rRNA". It matches the Rfam family "Bacterial small subunit ribosomal RNA", at positions 911 to 1448 of the family's 1533-position model. Lineage: Bacteria; Bacillati; Actinomycetota; Actinomycetes. The record is from RNAcentral.